GGCAGAGCCCAGCCACCAGGGUCUGCUCCAUGCCUGGUCCCUGGAGAGGCCCUCACCCUCUCUGCUUUCACCCAACCCGACUGACACGGAGUAGGAGGUGGGAAUCAUGCAGGCAGGGAGCUUAGGAAGCCUGGUUCAAGAUUGCUUUGAAUGGCAGGCCCCCUGCUGUGCUCCUGGGGAGAGAGCCUGAAACCUGGAUGCUCGGGAGCCCCUCAGAUCCGUCAUCUGUCCCCGACACCCCUGUGCACACACCUACACUUGAUGGCAGGGAAAUAAUUAUUUCCUGCAGAAUGGGCUGCAAAUGUAACAAACCCCCUGACCUUCAGUCUGAAGAGAGAGAACUAUCAACCACACAGAAGCAAAGAUCCAGAGAAAUACUGAGGGAUGCUACCAGACACUCAACCAGGGCCACUCUCCGAGAUUCCAGCCAGCCACACAGCAAAGAUGCUGGCCGGGGACACUGCCCCAAACCACCAGACAGAACCCCAAAGAAACAGCUCCACACACAGUGGAAGAUACACCAGAGACUGUUAGAAGGACCAUCAGACAAAGCCAAAGAGACAGGUAGAUGAAACCAGAUAACCAGCCAGAGAGGUGGUCAGAGAACAGCGACACAAUCAAAGGACCCACCAGAAACACUGUAAAGGACUCAGCUAGACCCAGGCAGAUACACUGCCGAAGGACGAGCAAGGAGCACAGGCAGUGAAGCCGUCGGCGACAAAGCCAGAGAGCUAAGACACUGUCAGAAACAGUGCCAGAGAAACCGUCUGACACACAAGCAGAGAAAUACCAGAGAAACUGAUAGACGCAAACAGGCGUACACCCAGAAAAACAGCUUGAGAGAAGAGCCAGAGCCACAGCCAGAUGCUCAGUCAGGAAGUAUCCACACCACUCCAAACACUGCCAGAGACACUGUCAGACACACAGUCAGACACACUGCCAGAGACACCGUUAUAAAGACUGCCAGAGAAACAGCCAGACACACAGCCAGAAAAACUGACAGAGACGCAGUGCCAGAUAUACCCCGAGAAAGUGCCAGAGACUCAGCUCCAGACAGUGCAGACAUAGCAUAACAGAGACAAAUGUGGGUAUCAGCCUGAAGCAGCUGCGGAGAGGCUGGAGAGCAAUGAACUUCCUGGGGCUUCCUGUGGGAGAGGGCUCCUGCCUGCCUUUUGCUACCCUUGACCCUCUCCAGGAAAGUCCCCUCCUCUGAGCCUGCUUUUCCUUUCCUCCCUGUCACAGCCACAGGUGCCCUGACUGCCCCUCCCUGGCACAGUAAAUCUCUCUGUGUCCUAAGUGGCCCCAGCUACCCUUUGCGCAUCAGUGACUCCUGGAGCCUUAGCUACCACUUGGCCUGGCUCCUUCUGACCCUCAGCCCCUCACCACUCUUCAGCUACUCCUCAGGCCUAGGAGGUUAAGACAAUGGCCAAAGUUACACAGCCAGCAAGCCGUGCAGCCAGGAAAUGAACCCAGGACUGCCUGAAUUCAGAGCUGGUGUAAGAGAGAGAAAACGAGACCAGCAGCCAGAGGCCUACCUGGUUCCCCAACCUCAGCCCUGGCCAGUCG
RNAcentral lists this long non-coding RNA (1566 nucleotides) under Homo sapiens (human). RNAcentral's name for it is "non-protein coding CNTFR-AS1:10". Lineage: Eukaryota; Metazoa; Chordata; Mammalia; Primates; Hominidae. The record is from RNAcentral.